RNAcentral lists this ribosomal RNA (255 nucleotides) under Bacillus sp. IG6. RNAcentral describes it as "partial 23S ribosomal RNA". It matches the Rfam family "Bacterial large subunit ribosomal RNA", at positions 1330 to 1579 of the family's 2925-position model. Lineage: Bacteria; Bacillati; Bacillota; Bacilli; Caryophanales; Bacillaceae. The record is from RNAcentral.
CCCUCCACCGAAUGCCUAAGGUUUCCUGAGGAAGGCUCGUCCGCUCAGGGUUAGUCGGGACCUAAGCCGAGGCCGAAAGGCGUAGGCGAUGGAUAACAGGUUGAUAUUCCUGUACCACCUCCUCACCAUUUGAGCAAUGGGGGGACGCAGGAGGAUAGGGUAAGCGCGGUAUUGGAUAUCCGCGUCCAAGCAGUUAGGCUGGGAAAUAGGCAAAUCCGUUUCCCGCAAAGGCUGAGCUGUGAUGGCGAGUGAAAU